Molecule: ribosomal RNA, 650 nt
Filed under: uncultured marine bacterium
Lineage: Bacteria
Description: bacterial SSU rRNA
Rfam family: Bacterial small subunit ribosomal RNA
Source: RNAcentral
GGCAGACGGGUGAGUAACGCGUGGGAACCUGCCCAGUAGUAGAGAAUAACUUGGGGAAACUUAAGCUAAUACUUUAUACGUCCUUCGGGAGAAAGCUUUAUGCGCUAUUGGAUGGGCCCGCGUUAGAUUAGUUUGUUGGUGAGGUAAUGGCUCACCAAGGCGACGAUCUAUAGCUGGUCUGAGAGGAUGAUCAGCCACACUGGGACUGAGACACGGCCCAGACUCCUACGGGAGGCAGCAGUGGGGAAUAUUGGACAAUGGGGGCAACCCUGAUCCAGCGAUGCCGCGUGAGUGAUGAAGGCCCUAGGGUUGUAAAACUCUUUCGUCAGGGAAGAUAAUGACGGUACCUGAAGAAGAAGAUCCGGCUAACUCCGUGCCAGCAGCCGCGGUAAUACGGAGGGGUCUAGCGUUAUUCGGAAUUACUGGGCGUAAAGCGAGCGUAGGCGGAUUUGUAAGUUGGAGGUGAAAUCCCAGAGCUUAACUCUGGAACUGCCUUCAAAACUACAUUUCUUGAGUUUGGUAGAGGAGAGUGGAAUUCCUAGUGUAGAGGUGAAAUUCGUAGAUAUUAGGAGGAACACCAGUGGCGAAGGCGACUCUCUGGGCCAAUACUGACGCUGAGGUUCGAAAGCAUGGGUAGCGAACAGGAUUAG